Molecule: non-coding RNA, 71 nt
Organism: Podarcis lilfordi (Lilford's wall lizard)
Lineage: Eukaryota; Metazoa; Chordata; Lepidosauria; Squamata; Lacertidae
Source: the annotation of a GenBank genome assembly
ACCCAGAGCUCAUUCGGCAGAGCAUGAGACUCUCAAUCUCAGGGCCGUGGGUCUGAGCCCCACAUUGGGCA